This is a non-coding RNA of Aegilops tauschii subsp. strangulata, 1615 nucleotides long. The record is from RefSeq and is a predicted model, not a curated record. Lineage: Eukaryota; Viridiplantae; Streptophyta; Magnoliopsida; Poales; Poaceae.
CACCUACCCGGAGCCAGAUCUAGAUCGAGACCCCCUCCACCGGCGGCCUCCCGUCCCCCCUUCAUCAACCUCAUCUCCUCUGUCAGAGCAACUUUUCUACUCUUUGAGAUCUCAGCUCCCCCUCCCCCUCCUCCUCCGGCAAUGCCUCCAUGGGCGGCCACCCCCGUGCUGCCGCUGCUAAUCCUCCUCCUGCUGUUGCUGCUCGUGCAGGGGAGAGGAGGCCACGGCGCCAUCACCAUCGCCACCCUGGACAUGGACGUAGACAUGGGGGUGGAGGCGGCGCAGAUGGGCGCGGAACCGGCGGCGCACGGGCGGCUGCUGUGGGCGACUGACGGCGAGCGGAGGUACAUCAGCUAUGAUGCGCUGCGGGGGGAUGCCAUGCUGUGCUCCCGGCCAGGGGUGCCCUACUACAACUGCCGCAUCAGCACCACCGCCAACCCCUACACCGGCGGCUGCGAGUCCAUCACCCGCUGCCGCGACGACGACCCUUCCUAGGUAACUACAGUAGUAACUGAUUGCCAAAGUUGCUGGAUCCAGAAGGCGGCCGCUGCUCGUUUCGUGUGUGUUUUGCUUGCUGGGUGGUCCGACGGUUCAAGCGUCCUGUGGAUGUAUCAGAGAAGGAAAUUGAUGCCGCGGGAGAUGGCGAUGUGUUGGUCAUUUUGGAUCUCAGAGCCGAUCAAUCAUUGAUCGAAGCUGGAGUGGCUCGAGAGGUUGUAAACAGAAUCCAGAAAUUACGGGAGACUGCUCAGCUUGAACCUACAGACUUGAUUGAUGUUUACUACGAGUCUGCAGACAACAGCAACAAUACACUUGAAGAAAUUUUGCAGUCACAGGAUCAGUAUAUUAGGGACGUGCUUGGUAAUUCACUAGUUCCAAAGGCAGUAGCAACAUCAGAUAUGGUAGAAGAUAGCGACAGAGUUUGAAGGUAUGUGCAAAGAUCUUCUCCUCCGUCGCCGUCCGCGACAAAGCUGUUGGGUGCAUCCGUCCAUCAUCUUUAGAUCUGAGUGAAGAGGGCAUCCGUCCAUCUCAAAAGGAUAUGGAUGACCAUCUGAAGGUAUGCAGGUUUCUUCCUAAACUUAACGACGAGAUACUAGCUGAAAGAAAUGCUCUCUACAAGGAAAGGUUGAGCAGCCUAGAGAAUUUAGUACUGAUCAUGAGGUGAUCGACGCAGACUACCGCGACUCGGUGGGCGUCGUGCUCUUCAACAACUCGGAGGCGGACUUUGCUGUGAAGCCCGGCGACCGCGUCACACAGAUGAUUCUCCAUGUGAUUGCGAUGCCGGAGGUCGCCGAGGUGGAGGACCUUGACGUCACCGUCUGGAGGUCGUCGAGGUGGAGGACCUCGACGCCACCAUCUCGAGGUUGCCGAGGCGGAGGACCUCGACGCCACCGUCUUGAGGUUGCCAAGGUGAAGGACCUCAAUGCCAUGGUAGAUACAUCUAGAGAAGUGGUCUUGUUAGGUUGGUGGUGGAACACUAGGGAAGGUACCCACCUUUCGGUGACGGUUGUGUGCGUGUGAUGUAUAAAUGGUAUCUCGUGAUCUCUUUGAGUUGAGAUGUUCAAUAUUGUAUCCAUGAAUGUUGCAAGUGCUAAGAUGGUUCUGUGACCUUCUUUUA